This 253-nucleotide ribosomal RNA is filed under the name uncultured bacterium. RNAcentral's name for it is "partial 16S ribosomal RNA". It matches the Rfam family "Bacterial small subunit ribosomal RNA", at positions 524 to 776 of the family's 1533-position model. The record is from RNAcentral.
UACAGAGGUCUCAAGCGUUGUUCGGAUUCAUUGGGCGUAAAGGGUGCGUAGGCGGCGCGGUAAGUCGGGUGUGAAAUCUCGGAGCUUAACUCCGAAACUGCAUUCGAUACUGCCGUGCUUGAGGACUGGAGAGGAGACUGGAAUUUACGGUGUAGCGGUGAAAUGCGUAGAUAUCUGGAGGAACACCGGUGGCGAAGGCGGCAUUCUGGACCGAUAUUGACGCUGAGGAGCGAAAGCCAGGGGAGCAAACGGG